Long non-coding RNA from Octopus sinensis (East Asian common octopus), 309 nucleotides. RefSeq lists it as uncharacterized. The transcript has 3 exons. The record is from RefSeq and is a predicted model, not a curated record. NCBI's taxonomy places the organism in Eukaryota, Metazoa, Mollusca, Cephalopoda, Octopoda, Octopodidae.
AAUAGGCAAAAAUACAGACCAAACUUCGACAAAAGAGAAUGCAACGACCUCAUCAAACUAAGAGAAGGUAAAACCAUAACAAUCAAGGUGGCCGAUGGGGGCAACGCGGUAGUAUUAAUGAACACAAAUGAUUAUAAAAUUUAGUACUAUCCCUAUUAGGAUAUGAGACAUACUAGCAAGGGGUCCAACAUUAUAAUCAAUCAAAAAUAAUGAAUAACCUCAGGACAUUAAUCAACUCAUACCGAGAAGGUCUCACAGACAUGGAGUACGAUUACAUCACCAACUUCAAAGACAAAUCUAUCACAUCAG